This 644-nucleotide ribosomal RNA is filed under the name uncultured Actinomycetes bacterium. RNAcentral's name for it is "bacterial SSU rRNA". It matches the Rfam family "Bacterial small subunit ribosomal RNA", at positions 232 to 885 of the family's 1533-position model. Lineage: Bacteria; Bacillati; Actinomycetota; Actinomycetes. The record is from RNAcentral.
CGCGGCCUAUCAGCUUGUUGGUGAGGUAGUGGCUCACCAAGGCUUCGACGGGUAGCCGGCCUGAGAGGGUGACCGGCCACAUUGGGACUGAGAUACGGCCCAAACUCCUACGGGAGGCAGCAGUGGGGAAUAUUGCACAAUGGGCGGAAGCCUGAUGCAGCAACGCCGCGUGCGGGAUGACGGCCUUCGGGUUGUAAACCGCUUUCAGUGGGGACGAAGUCUUUUGUGACGGUACCCACAGAAGAAGCACCGGCUAACUACGUGCCAGCAGCCGCGGUGAUACGUAGGGUGCGAGCGUUGUCCGGAUUUAUUGGGCGUAAAGAGCUUGUAGGCGGUUUGUCGCGUCGGGAGUGAAAACUCAGGGCUUAACUCUGAGCUUGCUUUCGAUACGGGCUGACUUGAGGAAGGUAGGGGAGAAUGGAAUUCCUGGUGAAGCGGUGGAAUGCGUAGAUAUCAGGAGGAACACCGGUGGCGAAGGCGGUUCUCUGGACCUUUCCUGACGCUGAGAAGCGAAAGCGUGGGGAGCAAACAGGCUUAGAUACCCUGGUAGUCCACGCUGUAAACGGUGGGUACUAGGUGUGGGGGACAUUCCACGUUCUCCGUGCCGUAGCUAACGCAUUAAGUACCCCGCCUGGGGAGUACGG